RNAcentral lists this long non-coding RNA (245 nucleotides) under Elaeis guineensis (African oil palm). Its description in RNAcentral is "long non-coding RNA (EGUI_LNC037266)". Lineage: Eukaryota; Viridiplantae; Streptophyta; Magnoliopsida; Arecales; Arecaceae. The record is from RNAcentral.
UAUCAUCAUCCUUACUAUUAUGUUGGAGCCAUUUUUGUCCAUCUUCAUCAUGAAGAACUACUCUCCAACAACUUAAGAUAUAUAUUAUAUCUUCUACAACUUUAUAACAUACUUUAUUAGCUUUUUCACCAAAAUAAUGUCCAUUUAAAAUAAAUUACCAAAAUAAUACUCUUUCCAAACUAUUUAUGAAAUUAAUAUCUGCAGACAAAGUCGUUCUAUCAUAAGAUGACUUUUUAUGUUGACUC